GACGAACGCUGGCGGCGUGCUUAACACAUGCAAGUCGAACGAUGAAGCCCGCUUGCUGGUGGAUUAGUGGCGAACGGGUGGGUAACACGUGGGUGAUUUGCCCCACCCUUUGGGAUAAGCCUGGGCAACUGGGUCUAAUACCGAAUAUGACCGAUACUCGCAUGGGUGUUGGUGGUAGGCUCCGGCGGUUGGGGAUGGGCCCGCGGCCUAUCAGCUUGUUGGUGGGGUAAUGGCCUACCAAGGCGACGACGGGUAGCCGGCCUGAGAGGGCGACCGGCCACACUGGGACUGAGACACGGCCCAGACUCCUAUGGGAGGCAGCAGUGGGGAAUAUUGCACAAUGGGCGGAAGCCUGAUGCAGCGACGCCGCGUGAGGGAUGACGGCCUUCGGGUUGUAAACCGCUUUCACCAGGGACGAAGCGAAAGUGACGGUACCUGGUGAAGAAGCACCGGCCAACUACGUG
Molecule: ribosomal RNA, 464 nt
Filed under: uncultured bacterium
Lineage: Bacteria
Description: partial 16S ribosomal RNA
Rfam family: Bacterial small subunit ribosomal RNA
Source: RNAcentral